UAAUUCCACCACCACCUGCGAAACACAUGGAAAGGCAGAAAUUCUUUCAGGAAAAGAAGGCUGAUGGUUCUGCUGUGUCUGGCCACAUGAGGGGUCUUUCGUUACACAGUCGCAAUGCCAGCAGUUCCUGCAGUGGAAGCAUAGAUUUUAGUGACUAGGGCGAUUUUCUCAACUCAUGGUUUUUCAUCAGUUUGUAUUUAGUGGUUUAUGGUGGUAUGUCUAUCUCAUGUACUGUUAAUGGGAGUGUUUUUUUACUGUUAGUCAGGUACUAGUGAGGUGUUACUUCUGUUUCUGAGGAGUUCUGCCCUAAGUUUGCACUUUUAAGCAAGCUGGAACUCUGUUACUGUCCUGGAAGGGAUUUGUACACGAGAUUUUUCUAUAUCAUAUACCUCACUGGUUAUCAUCAUUUUAUGAGAUAUUACUUUGGGGAAUAACUACUUCCCUUGGUGCAUGGCUGAAUAAUCAUCCCUGUAAAGUGUAGUUCACGAUGUUGUCUCUGACUCUUCCGUCUCUUGA
Molecule: long non-coding RNA, 516 nt
Filed under: Populus trichocarpa (black cottonwood)
Lineage: Eukaryota; Viridiplantae; Streptophyta; Magnoliopsida; Malpighiales; Salicaceae
Description: long non-coding RNA (PTRI_LNC004326)
Source: RNAcentral